CCUACGGGGGGCAGCAGUAGGGAAUAUUGCUCAAUGGGGGAAACCCUGAAGCAGCAACGCCGCGUGGAGGAUGAAGGUUUUCGGAUUGUAAACUCCUUUUGUUAGAGAAGAAAAUGACGGUAUCUACCGAAUACGCACCGGCUAACUCGGGGCCAGCAGCCGCGGUAAUAAGGAGGGUGCAAGCGUUACUCGGAAUCACUGGAGGUAAAGGGCGCGGAGGCGGGAUAGCAAGUCAGAUGUGAAAUCAUAUGGCUUAACCAUAGAACUGCAGUUGAAACUGUUAUUCUAGAGUAUGGGGGAGGUAGGUGGAAUGCUUGGUGUAGGGGUAAAAUCCGUAGAGAUCAAGAGGAAUACUCAUUGCGAAGGCGACCUGCUAGAACAUAACUGACGCUGAUGCGCGAAAGCGUGGGGAGCAAACAGGAUUAGAUACCCUAGUAGUC
RNAcentral lists this ribosomal RNA (440 nucleotides) under uncultured bacterium. Its description in RNAcentral is "partial 16S ribosomal RNA". It matches the Rfam family "Bacterial small subunit ribosomal RNA", at positions 338 to 795 of the family's 1533-position model. The record is from RNAcentral.